RNAcentral lists this non-coding RNA (31 nucleotides) under Rattus norvegicus (Norway rat). Lineage: Eukaryota; Metazoa; Chordata; Mammalia; Rodentia; Muridae. The record is from RNAcentral.
UNGUGAUAAUAGUAUCAAGCCGUAUACCUAC